UACGAAGGGGGCUAGCGUUGUUCGGAAUCACUGGGCGUAAAGCGCACGUAGGCGGAUUGUUAAGUGAGGGGUGAAAUCCCGGGGCUCAACCCCGGAACUGCCUUUCAUACUGGCAAUCUCGAGUUCGAGAGAGGUAAGUGGAAUUCCGAGUGUAGAGGUGAAAUUCGUAGAUAUUCGGAGGAACACCAGUGGCGAAGGCGGCUUACUGGAUCGAUACUGACGCUGAGGUGCGACAGCGUGGGGAGCAAACAGGAUUAGAUACCCUGGUAGUCCACGCCGUAAACUAUGAGAGCUAGCCGUUGGCAAGUUUACUUGUCGGUGGCGCAGCUAACGCAUUAAGCUCUCCGCCUGGGGAGUACGGUCGCAAGAUUAAA
RNAcentral lists this ribosomal RNA (374 nucleotides) under uncultured bacterium. RNAcentral describes it as "bacterial SSU rRNA". It matches the Rfam family "Bacterial small subunit ribosomal RNA", at positions 524 to 898 of the family's 1533-position model. The record is from RNAcentral.